CCUUUGCAAUGUGCGCAAGCACGACAAGGUUAAUCCGAGUGUUUCCUGCUAAAGGAAUCUUUUGUUAGUUGUAAAACCACUGAUGAAUAAGGGGUGGGCAAGUUCUGGUGUCAGCCGCCGCGGUAAAACCAGCACCUCAAGUGGUCAGGAUGAUUAUUGGGCCUAAAGCAUCCGUAGCCUGUUCUGUAAGUUUCCGGUUAAAUCCAUUAGCUCAACUAAUGGGCUGCCGAAAAUACUGCAAAACUAGGGAGUGGGAGAGGUAGACGGUACUCGGUAGGAAGGGGUAAAAUCCUUUGAUCUAUUGAUGACCACCUGUGGCGAAGGCGGUCUACCAGAACACGUUCGACGGUGAGGGAUGAAAGCUGGGGGAGCAAACCGGAUUAGAUACCCGUGUAGU
RNAcentral lists this ribosomal RNA (397 nucleotides) under uncultured Nitrososphaerota archaeon. RNAcentral's name for it is "bacterial SSU rRNA". It matches the Rfam family "Archaeal small subunit ribosomal RNA", at positions 347 to 745 of the family's 1478-position model. Lineage: Archaea; Thermoproteati; Nitrososphaerota. The record is from RNAcentral.